UAUGACCGGGAUUAUUUAGGAUAUGUGUUUAAAGGUGAAUCGAUCUCAUUAUCGUGAUCUCAUCACGAUCCGAUUCUCAUUGCACAAAUCCAAGGACAUCACAAUAUAUAUAUGCAUUUAUGCAAUAGUUAUAAAGUGAUAUACGCCAAAAUAUAAUAAGCAAAAAAAUUCUGUAUCAAGUCACACGUGCCAUCACUCACGUGAUUGGCUUGCUG
Molecule: long non-coding RNA, 215 nt
Filed under: Musa acuminata (dwarf banana)
Lineage: Eukaryota; Viridiplantae; Streptophyta; Magnoliopsida; Zingiberales; Musaceae
Description: long non-coding RNA (MACU_LNC004588)
Source: RNAcentral